Molecule: ribosomal RNA, 253 nt
Filed under: uncultured bacterium
Lineage: Bacteria
Description: partial 16S ribosomal RNA
Rfam family: Bacterial small subunit ribosomal RNA
Source: RNAcentral
UACGUAGGGCGCAAGCGUUGUCCGGAAUUAUUGGGCGUAAAGAGCUCGUAGGCGGUUUGUCGCGUCUGCUGUGAAAACGCGAGGCUCAACCUCGCGCCUGCAGUGGGUACGGGCAGACUAGAGUGCGGUAGGGGAGAUUGGAAUCCUGGUGUAGCGGUGGAAUGCGCCAGAUAUCAGGAGGAACACCGGUGGCGAAGGCGGGUCUCUGGGCAGUAACUGACGCUGAGGAGCGAAAGCGUGGGGAGCGAACAGG